CGUGGCUCCAUGGUGUAACAGUUAGCACUCUGGACUCUGAAUCCAGAGAUGCAAGUUCAAAUCUCAGUGGAACGU
This 75-nucleotide transfer RNA is filed under the name Podarcis lilfordi (Lilford's wall lizard). Its description in RNAcentral is "tRNA.Gln". It matches the Rfam family "tRNA". From Rfam's summary of the family: Transfer RNA (tRNA) molecules are approximately 80 nucleotides in length. Their secondary structure includes four short double-helical elements and three loops (D, anti-codon, and T loops). The record is from RNAcentral. Lineage: Eukaryota; Metazoa; Chordata; Lepidosauria; Squamata; Lacertidae.